This 2015-nucleotide ribosomal RNA is filed under the name Listeria monocytogenes. RNAcentral's name for it is "bacterial LSU rRNA". It matches the Rfam family "Bacterial large subunit ribosomal RNA", at positions 291 to 2297 of the family's 2925-position model. Lineage: Bacteria; Bacillati; Bacillota; Bacilli; Caryophanales; Listeriaceae. The record is from RNAcentral.
CUUGGGGUUGUAGGACACUCUAUACGGAGUUACAAAAGAAAGUUAUAAAUGAAGCGGUCUGGAAAGGCCCGCCAAAGACGGUAACAGCCCGGUAGUUGAAAUAGCUUUCCCUCCAGAGUGGAUCCUGAGUACGGCGGAACACGUGAAAUUCCGUCGGAAUCCGGGAGGACCAUCUCCCAAGGCUAAAUACUCCCUAGUGACCGAUAGUGAACCAGUACCGUGAGGGAAAGGUGAAAAGCACCCCGGAAGGGGAGUGAAACAGUUCCUGAAACCGUGUGCCUACAAGUAGUUAGAGCCCGUUAAUGGGUGAUAGCGUGCCUUUUGUAGAAUGAACCGGCGAGUUACGAUUUGUUGCAAGGUUAAGCGGAAAAAGCGGAGCCGUAGCGAAAGCGAGUCUGAAUAGGGCGCAUAAGUAACAGGUCGUAGACCCGAAACCAGGUGAUCUACCCAUGUCCAGGAUGAAGGUAAGGUAAUACUUACUGGAGGUCCGAACCCACGCACGUUGAAAAGUGCGGGGAUGAGGUGUGGGUAGCGGAGAAAUUCCAAUCGAACUUGGAGAUAGCUGGUUCUCUCCGAAAUAGCUUUAGGGCUAGCCUCGAGGUAAAGAGUCAUGGAGGUAGAGCACUGUUUGGACUAGGGGCCCUUCUCGGGUUACCGAAUUCAGAUAAACUCCGAAUGCCAUGUACUUAUACUCGGGAGUCAGACUGCGAGUGAUAAGAUCCGUAGUCGAAAGGGAAACAGCCCAGACCACCAGUUAAGGUCCCCAAAUAUAUGUUAAGUGGAAAAGGAUGUGGGGUUGCUUAGACAACCAGGAUGUUGGCUUAGAAGCAGCCACCAUUGAAAGAGUGCGUAAUAGCUCACUGGUCGAGUGACCCCGCGCCGAAAAUGUACCGGGGCUAAACAUAUUACCGAAACUGUGGAUGAACCUCUUUAGAGGUUCGUGGUAGGAGAGCGUUCUAAGGGCGGUGAAGUCAGACCGGAAGGACUGGUGGAGCGCUUAGAAGUGAGAAUGCCGGUAUGAGUAGCGAAAGAAGGGUGAGAAUCCCUUCCACCGAAUAUCUAAGGUUUCCUGAGGAAGGCUCGUCCGCUCAGGGUUAGUCGGGACCUAAGCCGAGGCCGAUAGGCGUAGGCGAUGGACAACAGGUAGAGAUUCCUGUACCAGUGCUAAUUGUUUAACCGAUGGGGUGACACAGAAGGAUAGGGAAUCGCACGAAUGGAAAUGUGCGUCCAAGCAGUGAGUGUGAGAAGUAGGCAAAUCCGCUUCUCGCGAAGCAUGAGCUGUGAUGGGGAAGGAAAUUAAGUACGGAAGUUCCUGAUUUCACGCUGUCAAGAAAAGCCUCUAGGAAGAGUAGUACUGCCCGUACCGCAAACCGACACAGGUAGAUGAGGAGAGAAUCCUAAGGUGAGCGAGAGAACUCUCGUUAAGGAACUCGGCAAAAUGACCCCGUAACUUCGGGAGAAGGGGUGCUCUAUUAGGGUGCAAGCCCGAGAGAGCCGCAGUGAAUAGGCCCAGGCGACUGUUUAGCAAAAACACAGGUCUCUGCAAAACCGUAAGGUGACGUAUAGGGGCUGACGCCUGCCCGGUGCUGGAAGGUUAAGAGGAGUGCUUAGCUUCGGCGAAGGUACGAAUUGAAGCCCCAGUAAACGGCGGCCGUAACUAUAACGGUCCUAAGGUAGCGAAAUUCCUUGUCGGGUAAGUUCCGACCCGCACGAAAGGCGCAACGAUCUGGGCACUGUCUCAACGAGAGACUCGGUGAAAUUAUAGUACCUGUGAAGAUGCAGGUUACCCGCGACAGGACGGAAAGACCCCGUGGAGCUUUACUGCAACCUGAUAUGGAAUGUUUGUACCGCUUGUACAGGAUAGGUAGGAGCCGAAGAGACGUGUGCGCUAGCAUACGAGGAGGCAAUGGUGGGAUACUACCCUGGCUGUAUGACCAUUCUAACCCGCCACGCUUAGCGCGUGGGGAGACAGUGUCAGGUGGGCAGUUUGACUGGGGCGGUCGCCUCCUAAAGAG